AUGAAUGAGAAAGCAAGCAUUUUCUGCCCCUAAUUACCUUUACUACCGUCCGUAAAUAACACUAAAUAGGCUAAUUUAGAGAAUCUCUUUAAGCAUGUCUAGUUGAAGUAACCAGAGUAAUUAAAAGAAUAAUCACUUUGACUAAUCUCCUUUUAUAUUGACAAAACUCAUGAAGCUUCUCCCCACGUUUUGCAAUAAAGCAUUCACCCAUUUAUUAUUAUUUUUUUCUUUUGAAAGUUCGCUUUCUAUUAAAAUUCAUUUAUUAUCUUACGGUACAGUUUAUACUUUAUACACACAAAAAAAAGAAACACUCACGAGGUCAUGAUAUGCAUUUUAUUGAUGUGUAUUACUAUUGUUUUUUUUUAAAUAAAAUUUUAUGUUACUUUUGUUAAUGUGUCAAGUAUUCGGCAUAACACAUUAGUUAAAAACAAAACAUAAAGAUGGGGGAAUUAAGAAGGUUUAUCUUCAAUAAUUAUUUUGAUAAAAUUUAUCUUACACUUAAAACUGAAUAACAUUUGUUAAUUAUAUUUUAGCGGCUACAAUUAAACUAAAGAUGGGGGAAUU
Molecule: long non-coding RNA, 564 nt
Filed under: Brassica napus (rape)
Lineage: Eukaryota; Viridiplantae; Streptophyta; Magnoliopsida; Brassicales; Brassicaceae
Description: long non-coding RNA (BNAP_LNC020811)
Source: RNAcentral